UACGAAGGGGGCUAGCGUUGCUCGGAAUCACUGGGCGUAAAGCGCACGUAGGCGGAUCUUUAAGUUAGGGGUGAAAUCCUGGAGCUCAACUCCAGAACUGCCUUUGAUACUGGGGAUCUCGAGUCCGGGAGAGGUGAGUGGAAUUCCUAGUGUAGAGGUGAAAUUCGUAGAUAUUAGGAAGAACACCAGUGGCGAAGGCGGCUCACUGGCCCGGUACUGACGCUGAGGCGCGAAAGCGUGGGGAGCAAACAGG
This 253-nucleotide ribosomal RNA is filed under the name uncultured bacterium. RNAcentral's name for it is "partial 16S ribosomal RNA". It matches the Rfam family "Bacterial small subunit ribosomal RNA", at positions 524 to 776 of the family's 1533-position model. The record is from RNAcentral.